RNAcentral lists this long non-coding RNA (2165 nucleotides) under Daucus carota (carrot). RNAcentral describes it as "long non-coding RNA (DCAR_LNC000079)". The record is from RNAcentral. Lineage: Eukaryota; Viridiplantae; Streptophyta; Magnoliopsida; Apiales; Apiaceae.
AGAAGGUCCUUUCACCGCCUAGAGCCGAUUUGCGCUUUUCAUAACACUGGCUAUGACUCUUCCAUGCUCUUAUGUCUUUUUCCAGUUCGUUCUGUGUAUUUUGGAACAUCUUCAGCUAGAAUAACAGAACACUGGGGAUGAAGUCGGUAGGCAAUUCAAUACAGUAUUCAAAAAGUUAACUGCUUAAUGAAACAUAGAACGAAAAAGUAAUAUAUAGUAUCUACAGAACAUGAGGUUCCAAUAUACAGUAAUGAAAAACAAAAAUAGGUUCAAAAAGACGUGCUUAUAUAGGAUUAUGAGGGGCAGAGAGAAACCUUCUGGAUGGGUAGAAGAUGAGCUACAAAUACAAAAAAAAUUAAGACAACAACAAUAAAUGUCUAAAGAGAUUGUUAGAUUGAACAAUAUCUAAAGAGAUUGUUAAAAACACAUAAAAAAUGAGAGAGAUACCAGUUCAUGUUGGAGAGUGUGUGCUAGUACGAAGAGGCAGGUUUGCACAAUUAUGGUGUUCUAGGAUCACAUGGACCCAGGUCACCCAGCCUUGCUUCAAUAUUUGCUAGUAUAAACAUACACAAUCACACAACCUGCACCAAACAGACAUGGAAUCAUACAACUUUACAUAUGCUCUCAUUGUCAGUCAAAUCCAACAAAUAUACAAAACAAAUUACAGCUCCAACUACACAAUUCAAACCACUAAAGAACAGUCGAUACAAAAGAUAUAUAAAAACAACACUUUACUGCAGCACAUAUACACAUUUGAAUUAAAUUGAUGCCCCCACAACGGCUGCCAUUAGUAUUAUCAAAAUUAGAGGCAAUUUUUGAUCCAAAAUAUAUUAAUUACUUAGAAUACUCUUACAUUUGAUAAUAUUAUUAAACGAUGUCCGACAAAUGGUAUAAUCUUAUUAGCUCAAUGAUUACUUUUAACAUAGAAAAUGCUGAUGAAUGUUCCUAUAAUUAUCCUACUAAGAAUAAAGAAUUUGGCUUGUGCUUUGCUUUUUGUCUAAAUAUGCAGGACACUGCAGAUUGAACAGAGUUGCAAGAAUGACCUUGCUUCAAUAUUUGCUAGUAUAAACAUACACAAUCACACAACCUGCUCCAAAAAGACACGGAAUCAUACAACUUUACAUAUGCUCUCAUUGUCAGUCAAAUCCAACAAAUAUACAAAACAAAUUACAGCUCCAACUACACAAUUCAAACCACUAAAGAACAGUCGAUACAAAAAAUAUAUAAAAACAACACUUUACUGCAGCACAUAUACACAUUUGAAUUAAAUUGAUGCCCUCACAACGGCUGCCAUUAGUAUUAUCAAAAUUAGAGGCAAUUUUUGAUCCAAAAUAUAUUAAUUACUUAGAAUACUCUUACAUUUGAUAAUAUUAUUAAACGAUGUCCGACAAAUGGUAUAAUCUUAUUAGCUCAAUGAUUACUUUUAACAUAGAAAAUGCUGAUGAAUGUUCCUAUAAUUAUCCUACUAAGAAUAAAGAAUUUGGCUUGUGCUUUGCUUUUUGUCUAAAUAUGCAGGACACUGCAGAUUGAACAGAGUUGCAAGAAUGACCUUGCUUCAAUAUUUGCUAAUAUAAACAAACACAAUCACACAAGCUGCUCCAAAAAGACACGGAAUCAUACAACUUUACAAUGCUCUCAUUGUCAGUCAAAUCCAACAAAUAUACAAAACAAAUUACAGAUCCAACUACACGAUUCAAACCACUAAAGAACAGUUGAUCAAUUAUAACACAGCCUUUUGAUUAUAUUCAUCGAAAAGCACAUAAUAAAGCUGUAUUUACCACCUCGUCUAAUAAUGAAAAGCACAAAUCGGAUCAAAAGAGCAUUAGAUCCGACAGUAAAAAACAACUAUAGGACCCUAAUUAAACGUAAUUAAAGUAAAUUGAAUUAAAAAACGAAGAGAGGUUAGAGAGAUUACCAGCUCCGGCGAGAAAGAUAGAUUUAAUAGGAUAAUUGAUUUCCCAGCGGCGAAGCAGCGCUUGAAAUCCUAGAAAAAAGGGGCACACAACAGAGAGAAUCGUCAGUCAAACAGCUAAAUCAUAAAUCUAUACUCCUCAAAAUACCCUAGAAUCAAGCUUCUGNUGCAAGAACAAUCGAUCAUUAAUGGCUAUAUUUUAAAAUAUGUGGGAGAGAAAAUAUGAGAGUAAGAAGGAGACAUAGAGAUACAC